Molecule: long non-coding RNA, 798 nt
Organism: Numida meleagris (helmeted guineafowl)
Lineage: Eukaryota; Metazoa; Chordata; Aves; Galliformes; Numididae
Exons: 3
Source: RefSeq, a predicted model, not a curated record
AUUUCCCCAAAACCCUACUAAUUUGGAUAAGGAAUAUAUUUCUGCAGCUAUUGUUAGAACUGUAAAAGUGACCCAGAGUUCAGCUCAAAGUUUGCGCAAGCAGGAUUUCAGCUGUCGCUGGACACAGUGCUUGGGUUAUUAACAUCAUUAGAGUCCAGCAGCAGAAGGUGCACGUGCCAGAGAGAAAAUGAGCCACCUCCUAGGAGUUGAGGGGGGCUCAUGCGCUGCUGCUCCAGGCGCCCGGCGAGCUCUGCAGGUGUGACUGCCACACCACAGGUGGAACCGGCGCAGGGUCAGGGGCUGCCUGCUGUGACCUGAGCGUCGUCACGUCCUGACAGUUCCUGUGGCCAUGAGAAAACAAAAAGCUGUCAAACAUUGAACGGAGAGCAGGGCACUGCACAGUGUGUUUCAGCCUGGCUCAGUAGAGCCGAAACAGUGAGAAAUCAGUCCUGGUUCCUUGGGACCUGCUGAAGCAGUGCCAGGUAAGUUUUGCUGCCUGCCCAGGAGCUGCAGCAGCCUCACUUGGUGAAGCAGGUUGCUUUUUUCCCCCCUUCUUUCUCUGUCCAUUCUCUCAGGUUUAGUGCCAGGCCCUUGAUCUCUCUUGUUGCCUGUUUGUCAGUCAUCAUUUGUAUGUAGGCAGUGUAAAUACAUAUCAAGCAGCAAGCUUUGUGGGAGUGUGCUGCUGUGGAAGACCAAGAUCUUAGGGGGAACUGGGAUUCUGAUGGGCCGAAGGACCUGAACUUUGAAACCAGGAAGACUUUGGUCAUUUUUGAGACCUUUAAAAUCCAAUGAUUCAUA